GACGAACGCUGGCGGCGUGCCUAAUACAUGCAAGUGGGACGCAAGGGAACACACUGUGCUUGCACACCGUGUUCUCUUGAGUCGCGAACGGGUGAGUAACGCGUAGGUAACCUGCCUAUUAGCGGGGGAUAACUAUUGGAAACGAUAGCUAAUACCGCAUAAUAUUAAUUAUUGCAUGAUAAUUGAUUGAAAGAUGCAAGCGCAUCACUAGUAGAUGGACCUGCGUUGUAUUAGCUAGUUGGUAAGGUAAGAGCUUACCAAGGCGACGAUACAUAGCCGACCUGAGAGGGUGAUCGGCCACACUGGGACUGAGACACGGCCCAGACUCCUACGGGAGGCAGCAGUAGGGAAUCUUCGGCAAUGGACGAAAGUCUGACCGAGCAACGCCGCGUGAGUGAAGAAGGUUUUCGGAUCGUAAAGCUCUGUUGUAAGUCAAGAACGUGUGUGAGAGUGGAAAGUUCACACAGUGACGGUAGCUUACCAGAAAGG
Molecule: ribosomal RNA, 489 nt
Filed under: Streptococcus mutans
Lineage: Bacteria; Bacillati; Bacillota; Bacilli; Lactobacillales; Streptococcaceae
Description: bacterial SSU rRNA
Rfam family: Bacterial small subunit ribosomal RNA
Source: RNAcentral